This 253-nucleotide ribosomal RNA is filed under the name uncultured bacterium. RNAcentral's name for it is "partial 16S ribosomal RNA". It matches the Rfam family "Bacterial small subunit ribosomal RNA", at positions 524 to 776 of the family's 1533-position model. The record is from RNAcentral.
UACGGGGGGGGCAAGCGUUGUUCGGAAUUACUGGGCGUAAAGCGCACGUAGGCGGCUAUUCAAGUCAGAGGUGAAAGCCCGGGGCUCAACUCCGGAACUGCCUUUGAAACUAGGUAGCUAGAAUCUUGGAGAGGCGAGUGGAAUUCCGAGUGUAGAGGUGAAAUUCGUAGAUAUUCGGAAGAACACCAGUGGCGAAGGCGACUCGCUGGACAAGUAUUGACGCUGAGGUGCGAAAGCGUGGGGAGCAAACAGG